RNAcentral lists this ribosomal RNA (253 nucleotides) under uncultured bacterium. RNAcentral's name for it is "partial 16S ribosomal RNA". It matches the Rfam family "Bacterial small subunit ribosomal RNA", at positions 524 to 776 of the family's 1533-position model. The record is from RNAcentral.
UACGUAGGGGGCAAGCGUUGUCCGGAAUCAUUGGGCGUAAAGCGCGUGUAGGCGGCCCGAUAAGUCCGCUGUGAAAGUCCAGGGCUCAACCCUGGGAUGCCGGUGGAUACUGUCGGGCUAGAGUGCGGAAGAGGCGAGUGGAAUUCCUGGUGUAGCGGUGAAAUGCGCAGAUAUCAGGAGGAACACCAAUUGCGAAGGCAGCUCGCUGGGACGUUACUGACGCUGAGACGCGAAAGCGUGGGGAGCAAACAGG